RNAcentral lists this ribosomal RNA (254 nucleotides) under uncultured bacterium. RNAcentral's name for it is "partial 16S ribosomal RNA". It matches the Rfam family "Bacterial small subunit ribosomal RNA", at positions 524 to 776 of the family's 1533-position model. The record is from RNAcentral.
CACGUAGGGCGCAAGCGUUGUCCGGAAUUAUUGGGCGUAAAGAGCUCGUAGGCGGACUGUCACGUCUGCUGUGAAAACCUGAGGCUCAACCUCAGGCCUGCAGUCGAUACGGGCGGACUUGAGUACUGCAGGGGAGACUGGAAUUCCUGGUGUAGCGGUGAAAUGCGCAGAUAUCAGGAGGAACACCGGUGGCGAAGGCGGGUCUCUGGGCAGUAACUGACGCUGAGGAGCGAAAGCGUGGGGGAGCGAACAGG